Molecule: ribosomal RNA, 253 nt
Filed under: Segatella copri DSM 18205
Lineage: Bacteria; Pseudomonadati; Bacteroidota; Bacteroidia; Bacteroidales; Prevotellaceae
Description: Prevotella copri DSM 18205 partial 16S ribosomal RNA
Rfam family: Bacterial small subunit ribosomal RNA
Source: RNAcentral
UACGGAAGGUCCGGGCGUUAUCCGGAUUUAUUGGGUUUAAAGGGAGCGUAGGCCGGAGAUUAAGCGUGUUGUGAAAUGUAGAUGCUCAACAUCUGAACUGCAGCGCGAACUGGUUUCCUUGAGUACGCACAAAGUGGGCGGAAUUCGUGGUGUAGCGGUGAAAUGCUUAGAUAUCACGAAGAACUCCGAUUGCGAAGGUAGCUCACUGGAGCGCAACUGACGCUGAAGCUCGAAAGUGCGGGUAUCGAACAGG